CUCAAAUUUGAAAUCUGACCCUUUGGGUCCGAGUUGUAAUUUGUAGAGGGUGCUUCGGGCGAGGCCUAGGUCUAAGUUCCUUGGAACAGGGCGUCAUAGAGGGUGAAAUCCCGUAUGUGACCGGCGAUCCAGCCCAUGUGAAGCCCCUUCGACGAGUCGAGUUGUUUGGGAAUGCAGCUCAAAAUGGGUGGUAAAUUUCAUCUAAAGCUAAAUACCGGCCAGAGACCGAUAGCGAACAAGUAGAGUGAUCGAAAGAUGAAAAGCACUUUGAAAAGAGAGUUAAACAGUACGUGAAAUUGUUGAAAGGGAAGCGCUUGCAAUCAGACCUGUCCGUGGGUGAUCUGUCGGUACUCGUACCGGUCAAUACCUCGCCCAUGAUCAGGCCAGCAUCGGUUUGGGCGGUGGGAUAAAAGCCCCUGGAAUGUAGCUUCUUUCGGGGAGUCUUAUAGCCUAGGGCGUAAUGCUGCCAGCCUGGACCGAGGACCGCGCUUCGGCUAGGAUGCUGGCGUAAUGGUUGUAAGCGACCCGUCUUGAAACACGGACCAAGGAGUCUAACAUCUAUGCGAGUGUUUGGGUGUUAAACCCGGGCGCGGAAUGAAAGUGAACGGAGGUGGGAGCCCGUAAAACGGCGCACCAUCGACCGAUCCAAAAGUUUUCGGAUGGAUUUGAGUAUGAGCAUAGCUGUUGGGACCCGAAAGAUGGUGAUCUGUGCUUGAAUAGGGUGAAGCCAGAGGAAACUCUGGUGGAGGCUCGCAGCGGUUCUGACGUGCAAAUCGAUCGUCAAAUUUGAGCACAGGUUAGUGAUUUUUGACGAUCCUUUAGGGGUUCUAUGCUAAUAAAUUUUAAAUAGGGGCGAAAGACUAAUCGAACCAUCUGAAAAAAACCCUAAGCUUGUUACUGGAUGGUUCCCCUGGGCUUGAAUGGCCUGGGUCCAGUCCCUAAAUGAGGGGCGACAUCGCUAGUCUUCGGGUAUGCCUUCGGGCGAUCCGCAGCGGGACAUGACCCGUUCACAGACUAUACGGCGGUGGCCGCAAGCUUUCUUGCAGUUAUGAGAUAGCCGAAACGUGCCCUUAACGGGGCCCGUAGCAUGAGUAGCUGGUUCCUGUCGAAGUUUCCCUCAGGAUAGCAGUAACGUUUUCAGUUUUAUGAGGUAAAGCGAAUGAUUAGAGGUCUUGGGGCUGAAACAGCCUUAACCUAUUCUCAAACUUUAAAUAUGUAAGAAGUCCUUGUUACUUAGCUGAACGUGGACAUUUGAAUGUACCGUUACUAGUGGGCCAUUUUUGGUAAGCAGAACUGGCGAUGCGGGAUGAACCGAACGCGAGGUUAAGGUGCCGGAAUGCACGCUCAUCAGACACCA
Molecule: ribosomal RNA, 1357 nt
Filed under: Nephroma occultum
Lineage: Eukaryota; Fungi; Ascomycota; Lecanoromycetes; Peltigerales; Nephromataceae
Description: LSU rRNA
Rfam family: Eukaryotic large subunit ribosomal RNA
Source: RNAcentral